This 3033-nucleotide long non-coding RNA is filed under the name Salmo salar (Atlantic salmon). Its description in RNAcentral is "lncRNA (ENSSSAG00000120766.1)". Lineage: Eukaryota; Metazoa; Chordata; Actinopteri; Salmoniformes; Salmonidae. The record is from RNAcentral.
GUCUCUAGAGAGUUGAAAACAGCAGUUCUGGGACAGGUAGCACAUCUGGUGAACAGGUCAGGGUUCCAUAGCCGCAGGCUUGAAACUGGAGCAGCAGCAAGACCUACUACCCUGAGACAAGGCUGAGUAUAGCCCACAAAGAUCUCCACCACACGAGCCCGAGGGGGCGCCAACCCGGAGAUCACGUCAGGGACUCAGCCCACUCAAGUGACGCACCCCUCCUAGGGACAGCAUGGAAGAGCAGCAGUAAGCCAGUGACUCAGCCCCUGUAAUAGGGUUAGAGGCAGAGAAUCUCAGUGGAGAGAGAGGAACUGGCCAGGCAGAGACAGUAAGGGUGGUUUGUUGCUCCAGUGCCUUUCCAUUCACCUUCACACUCCUGGGCCAGACAACACUCAAUCAUAGGACGUACUGAAGAGAUUAGUUUUCAGUAAAGACUUAAAGGUUGAGAGAGAGUCUGCGUCUCUCACAUGGAUAGGCAGACCAUUCCAUAAAAAUUUAGCUCUAUAGGAGAAAGCCCUGCCUCCAGCUGUUUGCUUAGAAAUUCUAGGGACAAUAAGGAGGCCUGCGUCUUGUGAUCGUAGCGUACGUGUAGGUAUGUACAGCAGGACCAAAACAGAGAGAUAGGUAGGAGCAAGCCCAUGUAAUGCUUUUAGGUUAGCAGUAAAACCUUGAAAUCAGCCAUAGCCUUAACAGGAAGCCAGUUUAGGGAGGCUAGCACUGGAGUAAUAUGAUCAAAUGUUUGGGUUCUAGUCAGGAUUCUAGCAGCCGUGUUUAGCACUAAGUGAAGAUUAUUUAGUGCUUUAUCUGGGUAGCCAGAGAGUAGAGCAUUGCAGUAGUCCAAUCUAGAAGUAACAAAAGCAUAGAUGACCUUUUCUGCAUCAUUUUUGGACAGAAAGUUUAAGAUUUUUGCAAUGUUACGAAGAUAUUUCAAGAAUAUCCUUGAAAUAUUCUUGAUAUGUUCGUCAAAAGAGAGAUCAGGGUCCAGAGUAACGCCGAGGUCCUUCACAGUUUUAUUUGAGACGACUGUACAACCAUCAAAAUUAAUUGUCAGAUCUGACAGAAGAUCUCUUUGUUUUUUGGGACCUAGAACUAGCAUCUCUGUUUUGUCCGAGUUUAAAAGUAAAACAUUUGCCGCCAUCCACUUCCUUAUGUCUGAAACACAUGCUUCCAGGGAGGGAAAUUUUGGGGCUUCACCAUGUUUUAUCAAAAUGUACAGUUGUGUAUCGUCCGCAAAGCAGUGAAAGUUAACAUUAUGUUUCCGAAUGACAUCACCAAGAGGUAAAAUAUAUAGUGAAAACUAUAGUGGUCCUAAAACAGAACACCGAAACUUACAAUUGAUUUGUCAGAGAACAAACCAUCCACAGAGACAAACUGAUAUCUUUCUGACAGAUAAGAUUAAGGUUUCCAAUCUCUCCAAAAGAAUGUGUUGAUCGAUGGUGUCAAAAGCAGCACUAAGGUCUAGGAGCACGAGGACAGAUGUAGAACCUCGGUCUGACGCCAUUAAAAGGUAAUUUACCACCUUCACGAGUGCAGUCUCAGUGCUAUGAUGGGGUCUAAAACCAGACUGAAGCGUUUCGUAUACAUUAUUUGUCUUCAGGAGGGCAGUGAGUUGCUGCGCAACAGCUUUUUCAAAAAAUGUUGAGAGGAAGGGGAGAUUCGAUAUAGGUCGACAGUGUUUUACAUUUUCUGGGUCAAGGUUUGGCUUUUUCACGAGAGGCUUUAUUACUGCCACUUUUAGUGAGUUUGGUACACAUUCGGUGGAUAGGGAGACAUUUAUUAUGUUCAACAUAGGAGGGCCAAGCACAGGAAGCAGCUCUUUCAGUAGUUUAGUUUGAAUAGGGUCCAGUAUUCAGGUUUAGAGGCCAUGACAAUUUUCAUGAAUGUGUCAAGAGAUUUAGGAUUAAAAAACUUGAGUGUCUCCACUGAUUCUAGGUCCUGGCAGUGUUGUGCAGACUCAGGACAACUGAGCUUUGGAGAAAUACGUAGAUUCAAAGAGGAGUCUGUAAUUUGCUUUCUUGUACGGGGUCAAGUUGUUACAGCACUGCCAACUGUGAUCUUUUGUCACCACCUGCUGGUCAUAUGUGACUCUACAACUGUGAUCUUUUGCCACCACCUGCUGGUCAUAUGUGACUCUACAACUGUGAUCUUUUGCCACCACCUGCUGGUCAUAUGUGACUCUACAACUGUGAUCUUUUGCCACCACCUGCUGGUCAUAUGUGACUCUACAACUGUGGGAGAUCACCUAUUCUCCUGUCUCUUCCAUAUUUUUUAUUUUAUUUCUCAAAACUAAUUCAGAGACAGAAAUAAACAUUCUAGGAUAAUACAGAUAUAACAACUUUUUUUAUAGGCCCUUUGAAUGAUUUUUGUCUUAUUCAAAGGCAAUACAACAAACAAGAAUAAGAACAAACAAAGCCAAUAUCAUUCACAGAACCCCAAACCUUUAAUUACCACAGCUUGCUCACAAAGAUAUAUGUGGAGGGGGAAAACACACAAACAGGAAGAGAGAGAGACAGCCAGAUUCAUCACCACAGACAGGACGCUGUGAUGUCACAGACAGGACGCUGUGACGUCACAGACAGGAUCCUGUGAUGUCGCAGACAGGACGGUGUGAUGUCACAGACAGGACCCUGUGAUGUCGCAGACAGGACGCUGUGAUGUCACAGACAGGACCCUGUGAUGUCGCAGACAGGACGCUGUGACGUCUCAGACAGGACCCUGUGAUGUCGCAGACAGGACCCUGUGAUGUCGCAGACAGGACGGACGCUGUGAUGUCAUUAGUAUGUGACGGACGGUUGGAUUUACAGCUCCAACAUCCUGGCUGGUAUAAUUAAGCUCUAAACCAGAGAAAUAGCACACGCGCACGCACAUCCACCCACCCCUACUGAAACAUACACUCUCUCAUGCACAUCCACCCACCCCUACUGAAACAUACACACUCUCUCAUGCACAUCCACCCACCCCUACUGAAACAUACACACUCUCUCAUGCACAUCCACCCACCCCUACUGAAACAUACACACUCUCUCACGCACA